UACGGGGGGUGCAAGCGUUGCUCGGAAUCACUGGGCGUAAAGCGUACGCAGGCGGCACGUUAAGUCGGGUGUGAAAGCCCGGGGCUCAACCCCGGAAUUGCAUUCGAUACUGGCGCGCUUGAAUACGGAAGAGGGGAGCGGAAUUCCUGGUGUAGAGGUGAAAUGCGCAGAUAUCAGGAGGAACACCGGUGGCGAAGGCGGGUCUCUGGGCCGAUACUGACGCUGAGGAGCGAAAGCGUGGGGAGCGAACAGG
RNAcentral lists this ribosomal RNA (253 nucleotides) under uncultured bacterium. RNAcentral describes it as "partial 16S ribosomal RNA". It matches the Rfam family "Bacterial small subunit ribosomal RNA", at positions 524 to 776 of the family's 1533-position model. The record is from RNAcentral.